UACAGAGGUGGCAAGCGUUGUUCGGAAUUACUGGGCGUAAAGGGCGCGUAGGCGGCCUACUAAGUCAGACGUGAAAUCCCCCGGCUUAACCUGGGAACUGCGUCUGAUACUGGAAGGCUUGAGGAUGGGAGAGGGAUGUAGAAUUCCAGGUGUAGCGGUGAAAUGCGCAGAUAUCUGGAGGAACACCAGUGGCGAAGGCGGCUUCCUGGCCUGUAACUGACGCUGAGACGCGAAAGCGUGGGGAGCGAACCGG
RNAcentral lists this ribosomal RNA (253 nucleotides) under uncultured bacterium. RNAcentral's name for it is "partial 16S ribosomal RNA". It matches the Rfam family "Bacterial small subunit ribosomal RNA", at positions 524 to 776 of the family's 1533-position model. The record is from RNAcentral.